CCCGGCACUGCCGUGCCGGGCUUUCCCAUUACGCCGCUGCGCGGCU
Molecule: small RNA, 46 nt
Filed under: Candidatus Sulfotelmatobacter kueseliae
Lineage: Bacteria; Pseudomonadati; Acidobacteriota; Terriglobia; Terriglobales; Candidatus Korobacteraceae
Description: Acido-Lenti-1
Rfam family: Acido-Lenti-1 RNA
Source: RNAcentral